RNAcentral lists this ribosomal RNA (540 nucleotides) under uncultured archaeon. RNAcentral's name for it is "bacterial SSU rRNA". It matches the Rfam family "Archaeal small subunit ribosomal RNA", at positions 459 to 999 of the family's 1478-position model. The record is from RNAcentral.
CAGCCGCCGCGGUAAUACCAGCUCUCCGAGUGGUGUGGAUGUUUAUUGGGCCUAAAGCAUCCGUAGCUGGCUAAGUUAGUCCCCUGUUAAAUCCAACGAAUUAAUCGUUGGAUCGCGGGGGAUACUGCUUGGCUAGGGGACGAGAGAGGCAGACGGUAUUUCCGGGGUAGGGGUGAAAUCCUAUAAUCCCGGGAAGACCACCAGUGGCGAAGGCUGUCUGCUAGAACGCGCCCGACGGUGAGGGAUGAAAGCUGGGGGAGCGAACCGGAUUAGAUACCCGGGUAGUCCCAGCUGUAAACGAUGCAGGCUAGGUGUUUGGACGGCCACGUGCCGUUCUAGUGCCGCAGGGAAGCUGUUAAGCCUGCCGCCUGGGGAGUACGAUCGCAAGAUUGAAACUUAAAGGAAUUGGCGGGGGAGCACCACAAGGGGUGAAGCUUGCGGUUUAAUUGGAGUCAACGCCGGAAAUCUCACCGGGAGCGACAGCAGUGUGAAGGCCAGAUUAAAGGUCUUGCCAGACGAGCUGAGAGGUGGUGCAUGGCC